Molecule: ribosomal RNA, 636 nt
Filed under: uncultured bacterium
Lineage: Bacteria
Description: bacterial SSU rRNA
Rfam family: Bacterial small subunit ribosomal RNA
Source: RNAcentral
UAAAGAAUUUCGGUCAUCGAUGGGGAUGCGUUCCAUUAGCUUGUUGGCGGGGUAACGGCCCACCAAGGCAUCGAUGGAUAGGGGUUCUGAGAGGAAGGUCCCCCACAUUGGAACUGAGACACGGUCCAAACUCCUACGGGAGGCAGCAGUGAGGAAUAUUGGUCAAUGGGCGCUAGCCUGAACCAGCCAAGUAGCGUGAAGGAUGACUGCCCUAUGGGUUGUAAACUUCUUUUAUAUGGGAAUAAAGUGCAGUAUGUAUACUGCUUUGCAUGUACCUUAUGAAUAAGGAUCGGCUAACUCCGUGCCAGCAGCCGCGGUAAUACGGAGGAUCCGAGCGUUAUCCGGAUUUAUUGGGUUUAAAGGGAGCGUAGGCGGGUUGUUAAGUCAGUUGUGAAAGUUUGCGGCUCAACCGUAAAAUUGCAGUUGAUACUGGCAUCCUUGAGUACAGUAGAGGUAGGCGGAAUUCGUGGUGUAGCGGUGAAAUGCUUAGAUAUCACGAAGGACUCCGAUUGCGAAGGCAGCCUGCUGGACUGUAACCGACGCUGAUGCUCGAAAGUGUGGGUAUCAAACAGGAUUAGAUACCCUGGUAGUCCACACAGUAAACGAUGAAUACUCGCUGUUUGCGAUAUACAGUAA